Long non-coding RNA from Eriocheir sinensis (Chinese mitten crab), 792 nucleotides. RefSeq lists it as uncharacterized. The record is from RefSeq and is a predicted model, not a curated record. NCBI's taxonomy places the organism in Eukaryota, Metazoa, Arthropoda, Malacostraca, Decapoda, Varunidae. The transcript is spliced from 2 exons.
CUCUUCAGCAAAGGAGUCGGGGCAGAUGUUGUGGCAUUCCGAUUCCCUCAUCACUACGGCUUCCAUGGCUUCGACGACUUCAACGGUUACAACGGCUAUUUCGGCUACGGCAAUGAUAGGAACCAUAACAACGGUGGCUUCGGUAACAACGGCGGCUUCGGUAACAACGGCGGCUUCGAUAACAACGGCGGCUUCGGUAACAACGGCGGCUUCGGUAACAACGGCGGCUUCGGUAACAACGGCGGCUUCGAUAACAACGGCGGCUUCGAUAACAACGGCGGCUUCGAUAACAACGGCGGCUUCGGUAACAACGGCGGCUUCGGUAACAACGGCGGCUUCGGUAACAACGGCGGCUUCGGUAACAACGGUGGCUUCGGUAACAACGGUGGCUUCGGUAACAACGACGGCUUCGGUAACAACCACGGCUUCGGUAACAACGACGGCUUCGGUAACAACCACGGCUUCGGUAACAACGGCGGCCACCGAGACUUCCGCAACUCCGGCUGUCAGUUUGCAUGUCAAUGGCUGUGAUUGCUACAUCGGCUACGGUAGCUACGAUAACAACGACGUCCACGUGACAUUGGUGGCUUCGGUAACUUCGAUCGGCUGUCGGUGGAGACGUUGCUGGCUCAGGUCAAGAUCUAAAGGAAGAGAUUAUUUAGAUCUUGGCUCAGGCCAGUCCGUCCAUGGCAACAAAUGAUAUGGCUUAAUUUUAUGUUUGUUUUUUGUGUUUCUUUGUAUGUCUUGUAAUACGUUAAUGUUUUUCAAUGCAAUAAAGAACGUACACCUACU